This is a long non-coding RNA of Bombus pyrosoma, 532 nucleotides long. RefSeq lists it as uncharacterized. The record is from RefSeq and is a predicted model, not a curated record. The transcript has 2 exons. NCBI's taxonomy places the organism in Eukaryota, Metazoa, Arthropoda, Insecta, Hymenoptera, Apidae.
GUUAUUUUACGAUAAAAUUAAAGGAGAAGAGAAAGAAGUUGAGAUUCUCCUUAACAAAUCGGAGAGUUCGUUUCGAAAAGAAUACUUUGAAACAACGAGCGAUUCAACUUCGACAACUUCGUGUUUCCGUAAAAGCGUAUCGUGUACUUUUCGAAACGUUUAAAGAUCGAUAAUCAAAUUUCAGCAAGAAUGUACGAGAGCUCGAGGAAAUGUCCGAUUAUAAGUCGAUGAUUUGUGCAUGCCAGCACGCAGGCCAAAACAAUUAUAUAAUAAUUGUAUCUUAUCUAUUUGUCAGAAGAAAAAUUUACUGGAAGAGAACUUGUGUAAAAAACAUACAAACUCGUUCUCUCGCUAACAUAUGUGUAUAUAUAUAUAUAUGUAAUAAAUAUUUUAUCGCCGUGUUGCAAAGUGAAUCAUUAUUUACAUAGCAAGAUUAUAAUCGGCAUUGUAUAAUUAGCGAAAAUCGUUUAACGAUGCAUGUAAAUUGACAUGUAAAUGAAAAUAAAUUACGAACUUACUUUGUUACUCUGGA